Molecule: ribosomal RNA, 608 nt
Filed under: Lodderomyces parapsilosis
Lineage: Eukaryota; Fungi; Ascomycota; Pichiomycetes; Serinales; Debaryomycetaceae
Description: Candida parapsilosis partial large subunit ribosomal RNA
Rfam family: Eukaryotic large subunit ribosomal RNA
Source: RNAcentral
UGGCCAAAUAUCCAAAAGCGGAGGAAAAGAAACCAACAGGGAUUGCCUUAGUAGCGGCGAGUGAAGCGGCAAAAGCUCAAAUUUGAAAUCUGGCACUUUCAGUGUCCGAGUUGUAAUUUGAAGAAGGUAUCUUUGGGUCUGGCUCUUGUCUAUGUUUCUUGGAACAGAACGUCACAGAGGGUGAGAAUCCCGUGCGAUGAGAUGUCCCAGACCUAUGUAAAGUUCCUUCGAAGAGUCGAGUUGUUUGGGAAUGCAGCUCUAAGUGGGUGGUAAAUUCCAUCUAAAGCUAAAUAUUGGCGAGAGACCGAUAGCGAACAAGUACAGUGAUGGAAAGAUGAAAAGAACUUUGAAAAGAGAGUGAAAAAGUACGUGAAAUUGUUGAAAGGGAAGGGCUUGAGAUCAGACUUGGUAUUUUGUAUGUUACUCUCUCGGGGGUGGCCUCUACAGUUUACCGGGCCAGCAUCAGUUUGAGCGGUAGGAUAAGUGCAAAGAAAUGUGGCACUGCUUCGGUAGUGUGUUAUAGUCUUUGUCGAUACUGCCAGCUUAGACUGAGGACUGCGGCUUCGGCCUAGGAUGUUGGCAUAAUGAUCUUAAGUCGCCCGUCUUAA